UAGGAUGCGAACCUGCCUCGGAUGUCAAAAAGGCAACUUGCCAUGAAAUCUGCUAAUGUGCCAUGGAUCACGGGGAUCCUUGGCGCAAACGCUGCUAUCAGUGAGGAACGCAUCGCCUGUUUUACUGAGACGUCUGAACGUCCAUUAGGAAAACACAAAUAUUCCUGUCAAGCCUGCUUGCCAGAAGUUCGGUGCCAUUACUCUAAUGAAUUGACCGUGUUUGUAGAUGGGCCUCGAGGAUAUCGUUUCUGAGGCAAAUAGUUUGUUUCUCAUACAUUCCGUACCGUUGAACCCAAUACCAAGAAAUACAAUGAAACCACACGUUUGAAUGACACGUACACACUUCCUAGGCACCGCUCUCCAGCUCCUCAGUUAAAAUGUUAGACCUUCCUGCCAUCGUACUUAAAUAGAGAGAAUUUAAGAUCUAAUGUCGAUUCAUUUGAUGUAAUAUGUUUGACUAUUUCUUUAAAACUAAAAGAAAAGCCUUUUACUGUGGGGAAGAAAUAUAAGGAGUCCCGGUUGUUGUUAUGGGCGGUGCAAUGCUCGGUGUUUCCAAAUGUUUACAAAAGUCAAAAUCAGGUUCUCUUUUCUUUACAUACAUUAGUGAACAAGGAUUUUGGACUCCUAAAGCAAACCCUAAUAGGUUAAUUUUCUUUAAAAGCAUUGUUUGUAUUCCUAUUACGAAAAUACAAUGUAGUGUUUUCUCAUAAAAGUUGAUGUUUUUUGAUGCAUGGGACAGACAGUCAAAUUAAAGUAGUUGGAUUCUGUAUUAAAUUAUUUUUAAUCUUCUGCGUUUUUAUGAAAAUAAAAGGCAGCACUUUGUCAUUUUUAACAAUGUAUGUAGCCAAUAAAUCUAAUUUCAACAUU
This is a long non-coding RNA of Caretta caretta (loggerhead turtle), 867 nucleotides long. RefSeq lists it as uncharacterized. The record is from RefSeq and is a predicted model, not a curated record. Lineage: Eukaryota; Metazoa; Chordata; Testudines; Cheloniidae.